CUGCUGCCUUCCGUAGGAGUUUGGGCCGUGUCUCAGUCCCAAUGUGGCCGUUCACCCUCUCAGGCCGGCUACUGAUCGUCGCUUUGGUGGGCCGUUACCCCACCAACUGGCUAAUCAGACGCGGAUCCAUCGUAUACCACCGGAGUUUUUCACACUGUUCCAUGCGGAACCGUGCGCUUAUGCGGUAUUAGCACCUAUUUCUAAGUGUUAUCCCCCUGUAUACGGCAGGUUAUCCACGCGUUACUCACCCGUCCGCCACUAAU
This 263-nucleotide ribosomal RNA is filed under the name uncultured bacterium. RNAcentral describes it as "partial 16S ribosomal RNA". The record is from RNAcentral.